This 253-nucleotide ribosomal RNA is filed under the name uncultured bacterium. RNAcentral describes it as "partial 16S ribosomal RNA". It matches the Rfam family "Bacterial small subunit ribosomal RNA", at positions 524 to 776 of the family's 1533-position model. The record is from RNAcentral.
UACGAAGGGGGCUAGCGUUGUUCGGAAUUACUGGGCGUAAAGGGCGCGUAGGCGGUGUGUCAAGUCAGGCGUGAAAGCCCCGGGCUCAACCUGGGAACAGCGCCUGAGACUGGCACGCUCGAGUUCGGGAGAGGAUGGUGGAAUUCCCAGUGUAGAGGUGAAAUUCGUAGAUAUUGGGAAGAACACCGAUGGCGAAGGCAGCCAUCUGGACCGACACUGACGCUGAGGCGCGAAAGCGUGGGGAGCAAACAGG